RNAcentral lists this small RNA (148 nucleotides) under Pongo abelii (Sumatran orangutan). RNAcentral describes it as "Metazoan signal recognition particle RNA (ENSPPYG00000039473.1)". Lineage: Eukaryota; Metazoa; Chordata; Mammalia; Primates; Hominidae. The record is from Rfam by way of RNAcentral.
GCCGGGUGUGAUGGCAGGCACCUGUAAUCCCAGCUACUAGGGAGGCUGAGGCAGGAGAAUUGCUUGAACCCAGGAGGUAGAGGUUGCAGUGAGCCAAGAUUGAGUCACUGCAUUCUAGCCUGGGUGACAGAGCAAGACUCAGCCUCAA